This is a long non-coding RNA of Pogoniulus pusillus (Red-fronted tinkerbird), 1559 nucleotides long. RefSeq lists it as uncharacterized. The record is from RefSeq and is a predicted model, not a curated record. The transcript has 3 exons. NCBI's taxonomy places the organism in Eukaryota, Metazoa, Chordata, Aves, Piciformes, Lybiidae.
CCACCACCACUCCUUUUCUGCUAUCUGCCUCUUUCCCACCUCACACUCCCCCUUUUAUCCCCCCCCAACCCAGAGCACCUGGUUGAAGUCUCCUCCCACCCCAGGUGUGACCACUUUGCCCUCCCUGCCCACUCCCCUUUAUAAUCUGCCCCAAGAGAGGCAGAAGCCCCAAGUUUGCCCAACUGGGCAGAGGGAUCCUCAUCCCAUCGUCACUGGCUGCUUCUGCUUUAGCUGCUUCUUUUUGCUGAGCUGUGAAACUGUGAAAAGGAGAGGAGGAAACCUGCAAAGCGUUUUGAGAAGGACUGAAUGAGCAUGGAGGAAAUGUCUGAGAAUCCCUCACAAGGUCCCUUUGGAUGGAUUCCUGCCCUCUAGCAAGUUGACUGUGCCACGCAGCUUGAUGCUAUCUGCACACUUGCUGAGGGUGCAUUUGAUUCCUCUCUCCAUGUCACUGACAAAGAUGUUAAACAGCACUGGUGCUGGCACUGACCCCUAAGGGAUGUCACUUGGCACUGGUCUCUAGGUGGACAUUGUGCCCUUCAUCAGCACUCUCUGCCUGCCAGCAUCCAGCCAAUUCCUUAUCCAGCAGUGCUAUACUUGUCAAGUCUGUGUGUUUCCAGUUUGGUGACCAGGAUGUCGUGUGGAACAGAGUCAAAUCCCUUACUCAGGUCCAGGUAGGUGACAUCAGUUCCCUUCUCUUGUCCACUGUUGCUGUGACUUCAUCAUAAAAAGCCACUAAAUGAGGCAUGGUUUGCCCUUGGUGAAGUCAUUGCUGGGUACCACCAAUCAUCUCUGCUUUGUUUCCCAUUUGCCUUAGCAGACCCUUCAAGAUGAUCUGCUCCAUGGUCUUGGCAGGCACAGACAUGAGACUGACUGGUCUGUGGUUCCUGAGAAGUGUCUGGGGAAGGGCAGCAAAGCUGCUGCUGAAAGGUGUGAAGAACAAGUCUCAUCCAGUCCAAACCCUCUGCCAGAUGGGGAUCACCCAGGGUAGUUUGCACAGGAAUGCAUGCAGGUGGAUCCGGGAAGUCUACAGAGAAGGAGACUCCACAACCUCUCUGAGUAGCCUGCUCCAGGGCUCUGUCACCUUCGCUGUAAAGAAGUUUCUCCUCAUGUUGAGCUGAAACCUUCUCUGUUCCAGUUUUUAUCUAUUGCUCCUUGGCUUAUUGCUAUGCACUACUUAAAAGAGCUUGGCCCCCUCCACUUGAUACCCACCCCUCAGAUAUCUGAAGACAUUGAUCAGACCUCUUCUUAGCCUUCUCCCCUCCAGACUAAACAGCCCCAGGGCUCUCAGUCUCUCUCCAUAGGGGAGAUACUCAAGUCCCCCACUCAUCCUUGUAGCUUUCUGCUGGGCUCUCUCCAGCAGGUCUCUGUCUCUCUUGAACAGAGGAGCCCACAUUAUUCAUCAAACCAGUUAUUACCAGAGAAACAUGAUGGAAUUUUGAUUGUGAAGUGAAACUAAUUCUGUCCCUUUGAUUGGAACAAAACUGUAAGAACUGUAUGCAUAAGGGGUUUGUUUGUGUCUGUGGGUUUGAUUCUCUUUUUAAUAAAGAAAAACAGAUUUU